UUUAAACGCAAAAAUAAAUUUUUCAUGUCUAUCUUGAUCAUCCGUCUUAUAUAAAUUUUUUUAUUAGUAGUUUCAUUGUUAUUAGAUGAUAAAAUAUGAAUAGUAUUUUAUAGUGACUUAUAUUUUUUUAAAAAAAAUUAAAUAAGAAGGACGAUUAAAGUUGAACAUUGAAACUCAUGGCUACGGUUAAA
Oryza glumipatula is the source of this 191-nucleotide non-coding RNA. Lineage: Eukaryota; Viridiplantae; Streptophyta; Magnoliopsida; Poales; Poaceae. The record is from Rfam.